AACGAACGCUGGCGGCAUGCCUAACACAUGCAAGUCGAACGAGACCUUCGGGUCUAGUGGCGCACGGGUGCGUAACGCGUGGGAACCUGCCCUUAGGUUCGGAAUAACUCCCCGAAAGGGGUGCUAAUACCGGAUAAUGUCUUCGGACCAAAGAUUUAUCGCCUUUGGAUGGGCCCGCGUUGGAUUAGCUAGUUGGUAGGGUAAAAGCCUACCAAGGCGACGAUCCAUAGCUGGUCUGAGAGGAUGAUCAGCCACACUGGGACUGAGACACGGCCCAGACUCCUACGGGAGGGAGCAGUGGGGAAUAUUGGACAAUGGGCGAAAGCCUGAUCCAGCAAUGCCGCGUGAGUGAUGAAGGCCUUAGGGAUGUAAAGCUCUUUUACACGGGAUGAUAAUGACAGUACCGGGAGAAUAAGCACCGGCUAACUCCGUG
Molecule: ribosomal RNA, 433 nt
Filed under: uncultured bacterium
Lineage: Bacteria
Description: partial 16S ribosomal RNA
Rfam family: Bacterial small subunit ribosomal RNA
Source: RNAcentral